Molecule: unclassified non-coding RNA, 347 nt
Filed under: soil metagenome
Description: partial contains 5.8S ribosomal RNA, internal transcribed spacer 2, and large subunit ribosomal RNA
Rfam family: 5.8S ribosomal RNA (bases 1-121)
Source: RNAcentral
GAUGAAGAACGCAGCGAAAUGCGAUAAGUAAUGCGAAUUGCAGAAUUCCAGUGAAUCAUCGAGUCUUUGAACGCACAUUGCGCCCCCUGGUAUUCCGGGGGGCAUGCCUGUCCGAGCGUCAUUGCUGCCCUCAAGCACGGCUUGUGUGUUGGGCCCCGUCCUCCGAUCCCGGGGGACGGGCCCGAAAGGCAGCGGCGGCACCGCGUCCGGUCCUCGAGCGUAUGGGGCUUUGUCACCCGCUCUGUAGGCCCGGCCGGCGCUUGCCGAUCAACCCAAAUUUUUAUCCAGGUUGACCUCGGAUCAGGUAGGGAUACCCGCUGAACUUAAGCAUAUCAAUAAGCGGAGGA